AAAUUGAAGAGUUUGAUCAUGGCUCAGAUUGAACGCUGGCGGCAGGCCUAACACAUGCAAGUCGAGCGGUAGCACAGAGAGCUUGCUCUCGGGUGACGAGCGGCGGACGGGUGAGUAAUGUCUGGGAAACUGCCUGAUGGAGGGGGAUAACUACUGGAAACGGUAGCUAAUACCGCAUAACGUCGCAAGACCAAAGUGGGGGACCUUCGGGCCUCAUGCCAUCAGAUGUGCCCAGAUGGGAUUAGCUAGUAGGUGGGGUAACGGCUCACCUAGGCGACGAUCCCUAGCUGGUCUGAGAGGAUGACCAGCCACACUGGAACUGAGACACGGUCCAGACUCCUACGGGAGGCAGCAGUGGGGAAUAUUGCACAAUGGGCGCAAGCCUGAUGCAGCCAUGCCGCGUGUGUGAAGAAGGCCUUCGGGUUGUAAAGCACUUUCAGCGGGGAGGAAGGCGAUAAGGUUAAUAACCUUGUCGAUUGACGUUACCCGCAGAAGAAGCACCGGCUAACUCCGUGCCAGCAGCCGCGGUAAUACGGAGGGUGCAAGCGUUAAUCGGAAUUACUGGGCGUAAAGCGCACGCAGGCGGUCUGUCAAGUCGGAUGUGAAAUCCCCGGGCUCAACCUGGGAACUGCAUUCGAAACUGGCAGGCUAGAGUCUUGUAGAGGGGGGUAGAAUUCCAGGUGUAGCGGUGAAAUGCGUAGAGAUCUGGAGGAAUACCGGUGGCGAAGGCGGCCCCCUGGACAAAGACUGACGCUCAGGUGCGAAAGCGUGGGGAGCAAACAGGAUUAGAUACCCUGGUAGUCCACGCCGUAAACGAUGUCGAUUUGGAGGUUGUGCCCUUGAGGCGUGGCUUCCGGAGCUAACGCGUUAAAUCGACCGCCUGGGGAGUACGGCCGCAAGGUUAAAACUCAAAUGAAUUGACGGGGGCCCGCACAAGCGGUGGAGCAUGUGGUUUAAUUCGAUGCAACGCGAAGAACCUUACCUGGUCUUGACAUCCACAGAACUUUCCAGAGAUGGAUUGGUGCCUUCGGGAACUGUGAGACAGGUGCUGCAUGGCUGUCGUCAGCUCGUGUUGUGAAAUGUUGGGUUAAGUCCCGCAACGAGCGCAACCCUUAUCCUUUGUUGCCAGCGGUUAGGCCGGGAACUCAAAGGAGACUGCCAGUGAUAAACUGGAGGAAGGUGGGGAUGACGUCAAGUCAUCAUGGCCCUUACGACCAGGGCUACACACGUGCUACAAUGGCAUAUACAAAGAGAAGCGACCUCGCGAGAGCAAGCGGACCUCAUAAAGUAUGUCGUAGUCCGGAUUGGAGUCUGCAACUCGACUCCAUGAAGUCGGAAUCGCUAGUAAUCGUGGAUCAGAAUGCUACGGUGAAUACGUUCCCGGGCCUUGUACACACCGCCCGUCACACCAUGGGAGUGGGUUGCAAAAGAAGUAGGUAGCUUAACCUUCGGGAGGGCGCUUACCACUUUGUGAUUCAUGACUGGGGUGAAGUCGUAACAAGGUAACCGUAGGGGAACCUGCGGUUGGAUCACCUCCUUACCUUAAAGAA
RNAcentral lists this ribosomal RNA (1550 nucleotides) under Klebsiella pneumoniae. RNAcentral describes it as "bacterial SSU rRNA". It matches the Rfam family "Bacterial small subunit ribosomal RNA". Lineage: Bacteria; Pseudomonadati; Pseudomonadota; Gammaproteobacteria; Enterobacterales; Enterobacteriaceae. The record is from RNAcentral.